RNAcentral lists this ribosomal RNA (685 nucleotides) under Arthrobacter sp. Its description in RNAcentral is "bacterial SSU rRNA". It matches the Rfam family "Bacterial small subunit ribosomal RNA", at positions 329 to 1018 of the family's 1533-position model. The record is from RNAcentral. Lineage: Bacteria; Bacillati; Actinomycetota; Actinomycetes; Micrococcales; Micrococcaceae.
GCCCCUACUCCUACGGGAGGCAGCAGUGGGGAAUAUUGCACAAUGGGCGCAAGCCUGAUGCAGCGACGCCGCGUGAGGGAUGACGGCCUUCGGGUUGUAAACCUCUUUCAGUAGGGAAGAAGCCUUUCGGGGUGACGGUACUUGCAGAAGAAGCGCCGGCUAACUACGUGCCAGCAGCCGCGGUAAUACGUAGGGCGCAAGCGUUAUCCGGAAUUAUUGGGCGUAAAGAGCUUGUAGGCGGUUUGUCGCGUCUGCUGUGAAAGACCGGGGCUCAACUCCGGUUCUGCAGUGGGUACGGGCAGACUAGAGUGCAGUAGGGGAGACUGGAAUUCCUGGUGUAGCGGUGAAAUGCGCAGAUAUCAGGAGGAACACCGAUGGCGAAGGCAGGUCUCUGGGCUGUAACUGACGCUGAGGAGCGAAAGCAUGGGGAGCGAACAGGAUUAGAUACCCUGGUAGUCCAUGCCGUAAACGUUGGGCACUAGGUGUGGGGGACAUUCCACGUUUUCCGCGCCGUAGCUAACGCAUUAAGUGCCCCGCCUGGGGAGUACGGCCGCAAGGCUAAAACUCAAAGGAAUUGACGGGGGCCCGCACAAGCGGCGGAGCAUGCGGAUUAAUUUGAUGCAACGCGAAGAACCUUACCAAGGCUUGACAUGGACCGGAAAGACCCUGAAACCACGUGCCCCCG